GUCUCAUUGUUUGGUUAUAUGAUCCACUAAAAAAUUUGGGUAGAUGGCCCGGUAAAAAAUGGUCCGAUAAAAAACAAGCUCUAUCGUUUUAUGACAAUUAGGUUUUCAUUGUUUUCCUUCGUCGACCCUUCAACCUCACCAUCACUGCCUGUUUUUCUUUGAUUUCUGAAACAAUUCCUUUCCACAGAGAUUUCCAGGCAUAGCUUACGCAAGCAAGGCUUUGGAGUAGGAAGGUCAGUAUAUUGAUGUGGAGGCACUGCGGAUAUGGAACGUGUGUUACGUCCGUCUCCUUCUUCCCACAGAGAAGUUAUAGUUUUUGAUCGGCGGCAGAUCCUCCGCCAAUCUUCUCUUCACUAUCUCUGAGUGGCAGAUAUGAUGGAAUCCGGCGAAGGUUUCGCGGCGAUGGAAGAGAGGAUCCUUCCUGGAAGCUUCUCCCAGUUUCCUCUUCCUGCUUCUUUUUCACAACUUAUGCCACAUUGCUGCAGACUACUAAAUCAAGAAAUUAGGAGGCUCUCCAUUUUCUCCGACCUUGAUAUAUAUGAGCCUGGCAGUCCAUUUAGAUCCCUUGGUCCGGCGCUCACAAAUGGAAAGCUUGAUUUUGAGAUUGCAAGACACUAUAGGGUGUUUAUUAGAGGACGAGAUCUGUGAAAGAUACUGUCAAGGAGGAGAAGCUCAAAGGUAAGCAAUGUUACAAACAUCUCAGCGAGCCACUACAUUUACUGAUCGAAGCCGAGCUUACAGAGAACAUAAUAAACUCUAGAUUGGAGCAUGCAGUGCAUUUCCUGGAGUCGCUCCUAAAGCCAGUGGACAAAUCAAUUGACCACUACAAGAGGGAACAACUGAAGGAGUUAGGGGCUCUGAAUGGUACGCUAAGGGAAGAGAGUCCAAGUCUGCGCUUGAGCCCUUGUCUGAGUCCGAGCAUGUCCCCUUUCAACAGCAAGCGUGCCAAGACUUGAAAAUAAAGAUUUCUACAGGAUAGAUGAUUUCUUUUUUUUUUCUCUGCUUCGGACAGAGAAACCAUGGCAUGGUCGUGUGGACGGAGGCAAAUGAGACACUUCAAUUCAUUUGUUUUUAAGUCAUUAAGUUUAUUCUUUAUUUUUGAAAGUUUGUUGGCUAGCAGAAAUUACUAUACUAUGUAGCCAGUAAGUAAUAAUCUUAUUAUUGCACAAAAAAAAAAGUAAGCUAACUAAUACUAAAAGAGAUAUAUGAGCAUCAGUCAGCCUAUCCAUGUAUGCAAAUUAAAUUAACCUAUCACAAAAUGACAUGUCAGCACCAUUGACAAAUGACCUUUAAUCUCUGUGCUAUUCCUUUCGCAGGAGAAACCUAAGAGCAUCUGUAUUGGAAGGCCCUUAAGGCAUCCCUUAGGGGAAAUGGGUGGGAACCGAGGAAGAAAGAGAAGGGAAAAGCCCUUAAUUAAGGGCUGUCCCUUACUCUCCUAUGACCAAAAAAAAAAAAAAAAAAAAAAAAAAAACAGAACAAGGGACCUCUUCUCCCUCUCUCUUCAUCCCACCAAUACAGAUGCUCUAAAGAAUAAAGACACCAGUUACAAAUCCUCUUUCUCUUCCCUUUCCCACUUUGUCUUCCAACUAUUAAAGCUCCAUUAAAGUGAAAAAUCAUAGAAUCUCGCUUUCCGCUGAACUAACAAAAAAAAUUGAGACGAGAGGUAGCUCUUUGGCUUCCAAGUGUUUCUGUUCUUCUUCAUCAUCCCUUGAAACAUCAUCUCCACGCCCUACCAAGCCAUCUAAGGUUAAGAUCCGCUAUUGAAUCUGCUGUGGCGGUGCCGGCGGGUCUUCCUCGGUGAGCUAGGUUCCGGUUGAGAAUCAAGUAUCGGAAUCUGUAGAGACAUAGCUUAGAUCCUAUGAUCCCCAAGCUAUGGAUGCGGAUUUACGCUCUGAUCCACAAGCUAUCCUCUGACUCAGUGGCUUUCAUCUACUCUUCAUCGGCCUCCGCCUCUCUCUCUCUCUCCUAUUCUUCUCCAGGCCACAUCAACCCUCUCCGAUCAGAAAACUCUACCCAGGAGCCGAUCUAAUUGUAGCUACUGAAUUGCUUAGACAGAAAGAGAAUGUGUAGGCAGAAUUGUUGCGCAAAAUCGUCACAAGAGGAGGAGGUGAUUUCACCACCUGAUGAGAAUCUCUUGAUCUACUGUAAACCUGCUCGUCUCUACAACAUUCUUCGCAUUCGCUCUCUUUUCAACCCAUCGUUUCUUCCUAGAUUAUUGAGCUACAAAAUUUGAGCAAAGGGCAAAAAAAGUAUGAUUCUUCUUUUUAUCCUUUUCUCGGGUCUAAUUAUGGAAACUCAUGAAUGGUUUCUUCUCUGUUGUGUGUGUUUUUUUGGUUUAAGUCCGGAUCUGCUGGGAUUGUAGUUUUUAAUUAUAAGGAUUGUAAUAACAAGAAUAUCAACUCCUCAAUUAACGGUGAUUUCCAUAUCUUGCAUACUUUGCAGCUAAACAUAAUUUGAAGUUUGAAGUUUUUGUCUUGCAGGUCGUGUUGCAGUGAUAGGGUUCUUCAUGGCUUCACUUUUGUUUCUGUCAUGAAUCCGGAUUUUUUUCGUAUUGAAAUCUAGAGGUCUGUUUGAAAUUUGAAGGUUGAAACAAGGGUUUAAAGAUGUUGUCCAAGAGAUUGAAUCUGAAGUUAGCUGCAAGCUGGAGCAAGGUAAACCUGGGAUGCCGUUAGAUAAGAGAUUCAUCACACGUUUAUUGAGUUUAUACCUUCUGUGCUUUCAGCUUCAACCAGAAGGAUAGGAGACGAUACACCAGGUUGCAGCAUGUGAUUUUUGAGUUAGGAGCUUCAGAAUUGGUUGGAUCAAUUAAUAGACCACGUGCCUGGCCAGCCUUUCGAGUGUAUGGUUUGGAGUUAACUGAAGUGCUGAGUAAUCUUACAGAUUGGAAGGUGAAUAUGGUGACAAGAGAGGCUAACUGGGGUGCUUUCUUGAUUGCUCAAAGCGUGACAGAGGAGAUGAGACUUCAGUCCUAUGUGGCCCAGGGUAAUCCUUCUUGGUUACAUGGUUUGCUUGCAGAGGAAGGUACGAGGAACAGUGUGUAACUGAUGAUGGUGGAGUUUGAAAGUCUAUGGUGAAGCUAUGUGUUUUUGGAGAGAAGCUGGAGUUUUAGGCUCUUAGCGUUUCUAUUUCGCUUUUUAGUUUUUAGUGUAGUUUCAAUUGUUGUUGAGGUUCCUUUUGAAUCUUUAUGGUAUUUUUGACACUUUCCAUUUUCUCAAGAGUUAAAAAAAAAUUUGUUUUGCGUUUCAUGGCCUGAUUUGUAAGAUUUAAGUAUAAGGUUUUGGCCUUUUGGGUGGUGUUUGCUUAAGAAUUUGUCAUUUAGUUUGAUUUUCGUCUAACCUUUCAUUUGUAAUGGCUUUCCAUAAAUUGGUUUGGUGGACAAAAGUUUUCAGUUGUUUUGGUCAUUUUGACUUGCCUUAUAAAUAGUAACACUUAAAUUAUUGGUUAAACUAAAAUCAUGUUAACCAAUUUUUAUAGUAACAAUCUAGCUAGAGAUUUUUUCAUGUCUGACCAUUAAUUUCUUACUUAUACCAUCAUCUCUAUAGUGUUAUAUUAUAGAACCCUCAACAAACUAUAAGUUCUAAAAUUUUCAGAUUUAUUAGGCAGAAAACAAUAAAGUAAUAGUUUAAAAUUUGUAUACUAACUUAUUUUAAUACAUAACUCUAACAUAUAUAUAUAUAUAUAUAUAUUCAAAUAAAAAAUUAAUUAAGAAUUCGACCUAAAAAUGGUGUCCAACGGGGAUGAUCAUCUCAUACAGAACAAGCUUAUGAGGGGACAGAAAAUGGCUUCUCAUAGGAGUUUGUAUUAUUUUCAGUUUUGAGCUUUGCGUAGAUGCAGUUUGCUCGCAUAAUCUUUGAUUCACAAUUGUUAUAAAAGUUUGUGGUGUGGUGUGUGAUAAUUAUGAUUUAAACUUAUGAAAUAAGAGAGAAGAGUUUCAUCAUACCUUACUAUCGGCACACAUGUGUUUAUCUCGAUAGGUUUGCAGGUAGUUCGUAGGGAUUUCAAAAUAUGUUCGCAUGUUACUCUCUUUUGGCAAUAUCUAUAUGGGUCACUUGACCAAACAUUUUCUCUUUUUGUUUGAAGAAAUUUGAGAAAAGUCAGUGAAGCCUAAGCUUCUGAAGUUAAUUGAUGAAGCGUUGCAAAAUACACAUGCAAAAUACUAGGAGGAGAAGAGCUGACAUAAGUGUUUUGCAGAAAAAGAGAGGGGAGAGAACUAGAGAGAGUUCACCUCAUGACGUCUCUAACAAAUGCUGCGAGGUCCACAAAAGGACUUCAGAAUAGAAAAAAUUGUCAAGAGUUAGUAACUUUCUUGGUAGGUUUUUA
Long non-coding RNA from Brassica napus (rape), 4320 nucleotides. RefSeq lists it as uncharacterized. NCBI's taxonomy places the organism in Eukaryota, Viridiplantae, Streptophyta, Magnoliopsida, Brassicales, Brassicaceae. The record is from RefSeq and is a predicted model, not a curated record. The transcript has 7 exons.